GACGAACGCUGGCGGCGUGCUUAACACAUGCAAGUCGAACGAAGUGGCGCACGGGUGAGUAACGCGUAAUCAACCUGCCCUUCAGAGGGGGACAACAGUUGGAAACGACUGCUAAUACCGCAUACUGAAGGAGGGGAUUGCGUUUGAUUAGCUCGUUGGGGGGGUAACGGCCCACCACGGCGAUGAUCAGUAGCCGGGCCGAGAGGAUGAACGGCAACAUUGGGACUGGGAAACGGCCCAGAAUCCUACGGGAGGCAGCAGGGGGGAAUCUUCCGCAAUGGACGAAAGUCUGACGGAGCAACGCCGGGGGAGUGAUGACGGCCUUCGGGUUGUAAAGCUCUGUUAAUCGGGACGCGGUACCGGAAGAGAAAGCAACGGCUAACUACGUGCCAGCAGCCGCGGUAAUAC
This 408-nucleotide ribosomal RNA is filed under the name uncultured bacterium. RNAcentral describes it as "partial 16S ribosomal RNA". It matches the Rfam family "Bacterial small subunit ribosomal RNA", at positions 28 to 526 of the family's 1533-position model. The record is from RNAcentral.